Molecule: ribosomal RNA, 292 nt
Filed under: uncultured bacterium
Lineage: Bacteria
Description: partial 16S ribosomal RNA
Rfam family: Bacterial small subunit ribosomal RNA
Source: RNAcentral
GUGUCAGCAGCCGCGGUAAGACGAACCGUCCAAACGUUAUUCGGAAUUACUGGGCUUAAAGGGUGCGUAGGCUGCGCUGUUAGUCAGGUGUGAAAUCCCUCAGCUCAACUGAGGAAUUGCGCUUGAUACUGCAGUGCUCGAGGGAGAUAGGGGUUAGCGGAACUGAUGGUGGAGCGGUGAAAUGCGUUGAUAUCAUCAGGAACACCGGUGGCGAAAGCGGCUAACUGGAUCUCUUCUGACGCUGAGGCACGAAAGCUAGGGGAGCGAACGGGAUUAGAAACCCUCGUAGUCC